Molecule: ribosomal RNA, 322 nt
Filed under: uncultured Pseudomonadota bacterium
Lineage: Bacteria; Pseudomonadati; Pseudomonadota
Description: bacterial SSU rRNA
Rfam family: Bacterial small subunit ribosomal RNA
Source: RNAcentral
AAUGAACGCUGGCGGCGUGCUUAACACAUGCAAGUCGAACGUGAAAGUCCGCAAGGAUGAGUAAAGUGGCAAACGGGUGAGUAACACGUGGGUAAUCUGCCUUCCGAUGGGGAAUAACAGUUCGAAAGGGCUGCUAAUACCGCAUGACAAACCGCUAUCAAGUUAGUCGGUUUCAAAGCAGCAAUGCGUCGGAAGAGGAGCCCGCGGCCCAUUAGCUAGUUGGUAGGGUAAUGGCCUACCAAGGCGACGAUGGGUAGCCGGCCUGAGAGGGUGUACGGCCACACUGGAACUGAGACACGGUCCAGACUCCUACGGGUGGCAG